Molecule: ribosomal RNA, 478 nt
Filed under: uncultured bacterium
Lineage: Bacteria
Description: partial 16S ribosomal RNA
Rfam family: Bacterial small subunit ribosomal RNA
Source: RNAcentral
GACGAACGCUGGCGGCGUGCUUAACACAUGCGAGUCGAGCGAUGAAGUUCCUUCGGGAAUGGAUUAGCGGCGGACGGGUGAGUAACACGUGGGUAACCUGCCUCGUAGAGGGGAAUAGCCUUCCGAAAGGAAGAUUAAUACCGCAUAAGAUUGUAGUACCGCAUGGUAUAGUAAUUGAAGGAGUAAUCCGCUAUGAGAUGGACCCGCGUCGCAUUAGCUAGUUGGUGAGGUAACGGCUCACCAAGGCGACGAUGCGUAGCCGACCUGAGAGGGUGAUCGGCCACAUUGGGACUGAGACACGGCCCAGACUCCUACGGGAGGCAGCAGUGGGGAAUAUUGCACAAUGGGGGAAACCCUGAUGCAGCAACGCCGCGUGAGUGAUGACGGUCUUCGGAUUGUAAAGCUCUGUCUUCAGGGACGAUAAUGACGGUACCUGAGGAGGAAGCCACGGCUAACUACGUGCCAGCCGCCGCAGUAA